Molecule: ribosomal RNA, 1427 nt
Filed under: uncultured organism
Description: 16S ribosomal RNA
Rfam family: Bacterial small subunit ribosomal RNA
Source: RNAcentral
GACGAACGCUGGCGGCGUGCUUAACACAUGCAAGUCGAACGGAAAGGCCCUGCUUUUGUGGGGUGCUCGAGUGGCGAACGGGUGAGUAACACGUGAGUAACCUGCCCUUGACUUUGGGAUAACUUCAGGAAACUGGGGCUAAUACCGGAUAGGAGCUCCUGCUGCAUGGUGGGGGUUGGAAAGUUUCGGCGGUUGGGGAUGGACUCGCGGCUUAUCAGCUUGUUGGUGGGGUAGUGGCUUACCAAGGCUUUGACGGGUAGCCGGCCUGAGAGGGUGACCGGCCACAUUGGGACUGAGAUACGGCCCAGACUCCUACGGGAGGCAGCAGUGGGGAAUAUUGCACAAUGGGCGGAAGCCUGAUGCAGCAACGCCGCGUGCGGGAUGACGGCCUUCGGGUUGUAAACCGCUUUCGCCUGUGACGAAGCGUGAGUGACGGUAAUGGGUAAAGAAGCACCGGCUAACUACGUGCCAGCAGCCGCGGUGAUACGUAGGGUGCGAGCGUUGUCCGGAUUUAUUGGGCGUAAAGGGCUCGUAGGUGGUUGAUCGCGUCGGAAGUGUAAUCUUGGGGCUUAACCCUGAGCGUGCUUUCGAUACGGGUUGACUUGAGGAAGGUAGGGGAGAAUGGAAUUCCUGGUGGAGCGGUGGAAUGCGCAGAUAUCAGGAGGAACACCAGUGGCGAAGGCGGUUCUCUGGGCCUUUCCUGACGCUGAGGAGCGAAAGCGUGGGGAGCGAACAGGCUUAGAUACCCUGGUAGUCCACGCUGUAAACGGUGGGUACUAGGUGUGGGGUCCAUUCCACGGGUUCCGUGCCGUAGCUAACGCUUUAAGUACCCCGCCUGGGGAGUACGGCCGCAAGGCUAAAACUCAAAGGAAUUGACGGGGCCCCGCACAAGCGGCGGAGCAUGCGGAUUAAUUCGAUGCAACGCGUAGAACCUUACCUGGGUUUGACAUGGAUCGGGAGUGCUCAGAGAUGGGUGUGCCUCUUUUGGGGUCGGUUCACAGGUGGUGCAUGGCUGUCGUCAGCUCGUGUCGUGAGAUGUUGGGUUAAGUCCCGCAAUGAGCGCAACCCUUGUUCACUGUUGCCAGCACGUUAUGGUGGGGACUCAGUGGAGACCGCCGGGGUCAACUCGGAGGAAGGUGGGGAUGACGUCAAGUCAUCAUGCCCCUUAUGUCCAGGGCUUCACGCAUGCUACAAUGGCUGGUACAGAGAGUGGCGAGCCUGUGAGGGUGAGCGAAUCUCGGAAAGCCGGUCUCAGUUCGGAUUGGGGUCUGCAACUCGACCUCAUGAAGUCGGAGUCGCUAGUAAUCGCAGAUCAGCAACGCUGCGGUGAAUACGUUCCCGGGGCUUGUACACACCGCCCGUCAAGUCAUGAAAGUUGGUAACACCCGAAGCCGGUGGCCUAACCGUUGUGGGGGAGCCGUCGAAGG